RNAcentral lists this ribosomal RNA (450 nucleotides) under uncultured bacterium. RNAcentral describes it as "partial 16S ribosomal RNA". It matches the Rfam family "Bacterial small subunit ribosomal RNA", at positions 354 to 796 of the family's 1533-position model. The record is from RNAcentral.
GUGGGGAAUAUUGGACAAUGGGCGCAAGCCUGAUCCAGCAAUGCCGCGUGCAGGAAGAAGGCCUUCGGGUUGUAAACUGCUUUUGUACGGAACGAAACGGUCCGGGUUAAUACCCUGGGCUAAUGACGGUACCGUAAGAAUAAGCACCGGCUAACUACGUGCCAGCAGCCGCGGUAAUACGUAGGGUGCAAGCGUUAAUCGGAAUUACUGGGCGUAAAGCGUGCGCAGGCGGUUUUGUAAGACAGGCGUGAAAUCCCCGGGCUCAACCUGGGAAUUGCGCUUGUGACUGCAAGGCUGGAGUGCGGCAGAGGGGGAUGGAAUUCCGCGUGUAGCAGUGAAAUGCGUAGAUAUGCGGAGGAACACCGAUGGCGAAGGCAAUCCCCUGGGCCUGCACUGACGCUCAUGCACGAAAGCGUGGGGAGCAAACAGGAUUAGAUACCCUUGUAGUCC